This 380-nucleotide ribosomal RNA is filed under the name uncultured eukaryote. Its description in RNAcentral is "partial 18S ribosomal RNA". It matches the Rfam family "Eukaryotic small subunit ribosomal RNA", at positions 592 to 976 of the family's 1831-position model. The record is from RNAcentral.
CAAUAGCGUAUAUUAAAGUUGUUGCAGUUAAAAAGCUCGUAGUUGGAUUUGUGGCGUACGGUGUGUUCCGGGCACUUGUUGUCUGAGUAACCUGCUGUUGCCAUCCUUGGGUGGAACCUGUGUGGCAUUAGGUUGUCGUGCAGGGGAUGCCCAUCAUUUACUGUGAAAAAAUUAGAGUGUUCAAAGCAGGCUUAUGCCGUUGAAUAUAUUAGCAUGGAAUAAUGAGAUAGGACUUUUUUGCUAUUUUGUUGGUUUGCGCAAAGAGGUAAUGAUUAAUAGGGACAGUUGAGGGUAUUCGUAUUCCAUUGUCAGAGGUGAAAUUCUUGGAUUUUUGGAAGACGAACUACUGCGAAAGCAUUUACCAAGGAUGUUUUCAUUAA